UUUGGCCCUGGGGAGUGUCUCUGGUGAACUUGGAGAUCCGGUGACCAGCCCCCUCCCACUGAAGUGGCCAGUGGGGGCAGACCAGACUAGAUCUCAGGAGAGACCAGCUCUACCCCCACCUCCUCUGCCAGCUGACACCUCCUGGCCUCCUGCUAAAAACAGUCGGUCUCAGGGGGACUAUGGGUUUUCAGGCCUCCCCCUCCACACCCAGGCAGGUAUUAAAGAGGCCGAAGUCAGGCCAGACCGGCUGGACAUCAUGCUAUUCACCGAGACUGCUCACUUCGUGGUGAAUUUUCUUCUAUCCCGGCAGCCCCGGGCCACAACCCCGCACCGCCUGGACCAGGAGUUGUGUUUCUGGGGCAGCCGGGGCCCAGUGUUGCCGGUGUCCGCCGCCCGCCGCAGCCUGGGCGACUACUGGCUGAGCCCGCAGCGCCGCCACCCUCCGGGCGCCGCCUGGCGCUGGCCGGCACGCAAACUGCUACUGCUGCCCGGGGACACAAGCCUGGCCGACGUGCCCUCGGCACGCUGGCCUAGCUGCUAUGGCGCACGCCCGAGACUCACAUAUCCCCUCCCUCCAGGUGGAAGCACCGGUGGCAGAAUAUUAACUACUAUUUUCUGGGCAAAAGGAAGAGACACCUAGUUCCCUUGCGCCCGUGAGAGCCGGGACUUGGGGAGACAGGCUUCAGGCUCCAUCGCAUGAUGAUCCUGGGGGGGACCAGUGCCAAGGCUAGGCUGAGAAGGAAGAUGGCCUAGACAUGCAGCAUGAUCCAGAGUCCCCUCUGUGGACGAAGAUGAGUCCCCUUUGCCCUCCCUCCUGAGAUCUCUGUGGUUCUGCCCUUCAUUUUCCAAAUAAAUUCUCUGCAACCUCACUCUGGCUCUCUCUACUUUGAGGGGAUCUCAGUUU
This 904-nucleotide long non-coding RNA is filed under the name Saimiri boliviensis boliviensis (Bolivian squirrel monkey). RNAcentral's name for it is "lncRNA (ENSSBOG00000036794.1)". The record is from RNAcentral. Lineage: Eukaryota; Metazoa; Chordata; Mammalia; Primates; Cebidae.